Molecule: ribosomal RNA, 554 nt
Filed under: Docosia sp. 010122
Lineage: Eukaryota; Metazoa; Arthropoda; Insecta; Diptera; Mycetophilidae
Description: partial 16S ribosomal RNA
Rfam family: Bacterial large subunit ribosomal RNA
Source: RNAcentral
UCGCCUGUUUAUCAAAAACAUGUCUUUUUGUAAUUUAUUUAAAGUCUGACCUGCCCAUUGAAUAAUUUUAAAAGGCUGCAGUAUUUUGACUGUACAAAGGUAGCAUAAUCAUUAGUUUUUUAAUUGAAAACUUGUAUGAAUGGUUCAACGAAAUAUUUUCUGUUUCAUUAAAAUUUAUAUUGAAAUUAAUUUUUUAGUAAAAAAGCUAAAAUAAUAUUAAAAGACGAGAAGACCCUAUAGAGUUUUAUAUAUUUUAUUUUUUAAUUUAUUAAUAAUAAUUAAAAUUUAAUUAUAAAUUAUAUUUUGUUGGGGUGACAAUAAAAUUUUAUAAUCUUUUAUUAUUUUUAAACAGUUAUUUUUGAUUAAUUGAUCCAUUAUUAGUGAUUAUAAGAUUAAAUUACCUUAGGGAUAACAGCGUAAUUUUUUUGAAGAGUUCUUAUCAAUAAAAAAUUUUGCGACCUCGAUGUUGGAUUAAGAUUAAUUUUAGGUGCAGAAGCUUAAAUAUUAGGUCUGUUCGACCUUUAAAUUCUUACGUGAUCUGAGUUCAGACCGGA